CGGAGGGUGCAAGCGUUAUCCGGAUUCACUGGGUUUAAAGGGUGCGUAGGUGGGCAAGUAAGUCAGUGGUGAAAUCUCCGGGCUUAACCCGGAAACUGCCAUUGAUACUAUUUGUCUUGAAUACUGUGGAGGUCAGCGGAAUAUGUCAUGUAGCGAUGAAAUGCUUAGAUAUGACAUAGAACACCAAUUGCGAAGGCAGCUGGCUACACAAAUAUUGACACUGAGGCACGAAAGCGUGGGGAUCAAACAGGAUUAGAUACCCUGGUAGUCCACGCCCUAAACUAUGGAUACUCGACAUUUGCGAUAAACUGCAAGUGUCUGAGCGAAAGCAUUAAGUAUCCCACCUGGAAGUACGAUCGCAAGAUU
This 366-nucleotide ribosomal RNA is filed under the name uncultured organism. Its description in RNAcentral is "bacterial SSU rRNA". It matches the Rfam family "Bacterial small subunit ribosomal RNA", at positions 526 to 895 of the family's 1533-position model. The record is from RNAcentral.